Molecule: long non-coding RNA, 243 nt
Filed under: Lathyrus oleraceus (garden pea)
Lineage: Eukaryota; Viridiplantae; Streptophyta; Magnoliopsida; Fabales; Fabaceae
Description: Pisum sativum (pea) long non-coding RNA (PSAT_LNC018990)
Source: RNAcentral
AACUUUUCACAUUUUUAGAAAACAAAACCUAACUAUAGGAGAAUCAAUACAUAUUACCUUUGAAGAAACUAACUCUGAGUUUGUAGAGGUAGAAUUCUUUAAUUGUGCAUGUAUUAUGGAGAAAAUUUUCUUAAAAGACAAAGAUUCACAUAAAAACAAAGACAAAGACAAAUAUUUAAAACAAGGAAAAAAAAAGAUCAAGUCGAAGAAGAAAAAAUAGAUAAUCAUUAAGAACGAUCUGAG